This 262-nucleotide ribosomal RNA is filed under the name Drosophila ornatipennis. Its description in RNAcentral is "partial 28S ribosomal RNA". Lineage: Eukaryota; Metazoa; Arthropoda; Insecta; Diptera; Drosophilidae. The record is from RNAcentral.
CCCGAAGGUAUCCUGAAUCUUUCGCAUUGUUAAUCAUACAAGUGCAUAUAAUAAACACAAAAAUCAAUGAUAAUUAUGCCAUUAUAUAAUUCCGAAAAAUUAACGCACUGUAUUCAUAUAAAUCUAUCAGUACUUUAUCAAAUUUAUGACAUUCAUUUUAUGUUAAAAUGCAAGCAUUUUAAUUUAAAUAAGCAUUUAUCUAAAACUUUUUGAUAAAUUAUUUGUUACUAAUAGAUUACAAUGUCCUUAUAUGGAAAAAAUG